UAUGUCCAAGCUGGGAUUUGCGGCUUACCGCUUUUCUGUUUCAUGGUCUCGUAUUUUCCCUGAUGGUUUGGGAACAAAGGUCAAUGAGGAAGGAGUUGCCUACUACAACAAUCUCAUUAAUGCUCUGCUUGAUAAAGGUUUGCAGCCAUACUUGACAUUAUAUCAUUGGGAUCUACCGAACCAUCUUCAAGAGUCAGU
Molecule: long non-coding RNA, 198 nt
Organism: Papaver somniferum (opium poppy)
Lineage: Eukaryota; Viridiplantae; Streptophyta; Magnoliopsida; Ranunculales; Papaveraceae
Exons: 3
Source: RefSeq, a predicted model, not a curated record